Molecule: long non-coding RNA, 3094 nt
Filed under: Olea europaea subsp. europaea
Lineage: Eukaryota; Viridiplantae; Streptophyta; Magnoliopsida; Lamiales; Oleaceae
Source: RNAcentral
GUCCAAUCAUUGAAAAAAGGAAAGACAUCGAAAUGUUAGAUGUCACUACCGUAAGGAUGACAUCUGAAGAAUAGAUCAUGGAUACAAGACUGGAUCAUCGAUUCAUGGUGUCUAAUUCUCAAGUGUCUCUUGUAGAAGAAUUGCAUUUUUUCCCGAUAAAUCUAUAAGAUCCCACGAAAAUGCUCCAAGUAAAAAGAGUGCUAAAUUUGGAAAACAAGAAGAAGCUUAGGGGUUUCUUGCUCGAAAAUCUAGAUAUGUUUACUUGGAGGCAUAAAGAUAUGAUGGGUAUCGAUCAUGACGAGUUGCCACCACCUAAAUAAUGAUCCAAAGUUCACACCUCAAAGGCAGAAGCGAAGAGCCUUUGACUCGAAAAGAUAUAGGGCCCCGAAGGAAGAGGUGGAAAAACUUAUAUUCAAUCAUCAGAGAGGCCAUCUAUCCAAAUUGAAUCUCUAACCCAGUCCUUGUAAAGAAACACAAUGACAAAUGGAGGAUAUGCAUAAACUUCUCCAACCUUAAUCAAGCAUGCCCCAAGGACAGUUUUCCACUUCAAAUGAUAGACUAACUUAUGGGUUCUAUUGCGGAGCAUGAACUAUUGAGCGUUAUGGAUAUUUAUUCACGAUAUGAUCAGAUCUUCAUGCACCCGUCAAACAAAAAAACCACCUCCUUAAUUACUCGUAGAGGCCUAUAUUAUUAAAAGAUGAUGCCUUUCGACUUGAAAAAUACAGGAGCAACCUAUCAGAGGCCUGUCACCAAAAUUUUUGUCGACUUCUUUUGCAAAACCAUGGAAGUUUAUAUAGAUAAUAUGCCAAUAAAGAGCCUCAAGGCUAUAGACCAUGUUAAGCACCUCGAUGCAGAUUUUUAAAUAUUAAAAAGAUAUAUGAUGAGGCUGAAUCCACUCAAAUGAGCCUUUGGCAUGGCAUUUGGGAAGUUUUUAGGCUACAUAGUCAAUAAAUGUAUACAUGAAAAGAUCAAAGCCUUGAUGGAUAUGAGGUCUCCUAGAAAACCAAAGGAAGUACAAAAUCUCAUCGGUCGAUUAAUAGCCCUAAGCCAUUUUAUUUUAAAGGGCAUCGAUAAAUACCUUCUAAGGGCUGAAGAAGUAUUUGGGACAGGACCCCUCCUCUUGAAAUCUAAGGAAGGAAAUUUUUUUUUUUGUAUUUAGUUGUUUAUAUAGAGGCUAUACGCUCCAUACUUAUGAGGAAAGAAGGUAGAGUGCAAUUACAGAUUUAUCGUGUAUGCAAGGCCCGUUUGUCAAUAGAAACUAACUACACUGACAUAAAGAAGUUUGCCCUUUCUUUGGUCACCGCUUCUAGCAAAUUGAAGCCAUAUUUCUAGGCCCAUAGCAUACAAGUACUAAAUAAUUUUCCACUUAAGUAGGUGCUUCAAAGCCUGAUGCCUCAGGUAGAUUAAUGAAAUGAGUGUGGAGCUAAGUGAAUAUGAUAUUUUUUACGGUCAAAGAGCCUCUGUAACAAGGACAAGAACUUGUAGACUUCAUAGUAGAGUUUGUCAAUGCUUUGGAUAUAGAAAUGUCAAUGGAUCAAGCAAAACCACCCACAUGGAAUUUGUUUGUUGAUGGUCUCUUCGAAAAUAUAAGUAUAAGGAAUGGAGUGGUAUUAGUUAGCCCAAAAAGCCAUAAGCUCAACUGCAUGGUAAGAUUUAGAUUUAAGGCCUUCAACAACAUAGCCAAAUAUGAAGCAUUACUAAUUGGCCUCAAAUUAUCUAAGGAUAUACAAUUGAAAAAAUUGUAGUUAAGAGCGAUCUGCAAAGGACAAAAGUAUGGCAGCAUCACUCAAGAAGGUUAUGGAUCUUCUCCCAUCUUUUAAAAAAUUUGAGUUGGCUCAAAUCCUACAUACUGAGAACAUUCAUGCCGAUAUUUUUUAAAGUUUGCUAGUAAUAAGGAUUCAGGGCUUCUUAAGGUAGUAUCAAUUAAACACCUCGCCGGGCUCUCUAUCUCCAAAGUAAAAGAGGUUAUAUGGAUUGAAGGAACCCUAUUUCAGAUACAGCCAAUUGUUUACUUUCUCAAAGAUCAAAUCCUACUGAAAAAUAAAGAAAAAGCCAACAAGCUCAGAAGAAGAGUUGAUCAUGUUGUGCUCCAGGAUGAGGUGCUAUUUAUGAGAGGUGUCUCAUCGACUCUUCUUCAGUGCACUGAUGGAGAAGAGGCUAAUUAUGUCCUUCGCAAGGUUCAUGAAAGAGUUUUUGGCAACCAUACAAGGGGCCUAGAACUCGUACAUAAGAUAUUAAGACGAUGAUAUUAUUGGCCAAAUCUCGAGAAGGAUGCAUUUCAAUUCAUAAAGAAAUAUGACAUGUAUCAACGUUUCCAUACCAUACAGAGGCAGCCCUCUUAAGAAUUAACUAUUGUUUUGAGCCCCUAGCCAUUUGCCAAAUUGGGAGUCAACCUCAUAUGGGCCCCUACCAAAAGGGAUUGGUAGUGCUAGCUAUGCUUCUGUAGCCAUUUAUUACUUCACCAAAUGGGUCAAAGCUAAACUUCUAGAAAAAAUCACUCAGGCCAUCGCUUCUAAAUUUAUCUAAAAGGACAUCAUCAGUUGGCUUGGGAUUCUGCAUUCGUUUGUACUGAACAAUAGGAGAGAGUUUGACAAUAGAAAGGCCAACAACUUGUGUGAAGAAUUGGAAAUUAGGAAACACUUCUCAUCAUCCUCAGGCAAAUGACCAAGUGGAAGCAGUCAAUAAAACGAUCAAGCACACCUAAAAAAAAGGUUGAUGCAUCAAAAGGGGCCAAGUGGAUGAGCUUCCCAAGGACAAUUCGUAUCACGAGUCAAAUUACAUUAGGAAAUACUCUUUUUUCUACGGCUUAUAGGGCUGAGACCAUGAGCCCCAUUGAGUUAAGACCACUACCGCCUUAUUGUUUUCAUUUUAAUGAGAUAUCUCAUGACAAGUUGAGAAGGCAUGAAUUGGACUUCCUUAAAGAAAUAGGAGACGAUUCCCAAAUGAAGCUCAUCUUUUAUCAAAGGAAAAUGGCUUGAUGAUAUGACACGAAGGCAUAGAAGAGAUCAUUUCGAAGGAGAGAUCUUGUAUAAAAGAGGGUUUUUCUAUCCUAUAAAGAGCUAGAUGUGGAAACAUUUUCCCAACUGCAUAUCAG